This 263-nucleotide non-coding RNA is filed under the name Microtus ochrogaster (prairie vole). Lineage: Eukaryota; Metazoa; Chordata; Mammalia; Rodentia; Cricetidae. The record is from RNAcentral.
GCCAGGUGGGGUGGCACACACCUUUAGUCCCUGCUACCCAGGAAGCUGAAUCCAGGAGGUUCUAGGCUGUAGCGUGCUAUGCUGAUGGGAUGCUUUUGCAAUGUUUGACAUCAAUAUGGUGACUCCUAAGAGCAGGGACCCACAGAUUUCCAAAGGGUGGGGAGCCAGUCCAGGCUGGAAAUGGAACAGGUCAAACCCCAAUGCUGAUCAGCAAUGGGAUCAUACCUGACAGUAGCCACUACCCGCCAGCCCAGGCCUGGUGU